Didymella exigua CBS 183.55 is the source of this 144-nucleotide non-coding RNA. Lineage: Eukaryota; Fungi; Ascomycota; Dothideomycetes; Pleosporales; Didymellaceae. The record is from the annotation of a RefSeq genome assembly.
GGGCAGAUGGCCGAGUGGUCUAAGGCGCUGCGUUUAGGUCCGUUCUAAACAUCCUCCGCAGUCAGUAAUGGGUAUGUUCCAUGUGUCACUUCAUUAAAAUCACCGCUAACUUUCAUAGCGUGGGUUCGAAUCCCACUCUGCUCA